Pan troglodytes (chimpanzee) is the source of this 974-nucleotide long non-coding RNA. RefSeq lists it as uncharacterized. The transcript has 5 exons. Lineage: Eukaryota; Metazoa; Chordata; Mammalia; Primates; Hominidae. The record is from RefSeq and is a predicted model, not a curated record.
GUGGAAGACUUAAGAUGGCGGCGUUUGCACGGAGUGCAAUCACUGCGUCCUUACGGGGGUUGCAAGGCGUCCGAAGUAUGAGUCCAGUAACAAAAGGCCAGAAACUCGCCAGUUAAUAGUAUUGUGGUUGGAGUGCAAUGGCGCGAUCUCGGCUGACUGCAACCUCCACCUCCUGGAUUCAAGCUAUUCUCCUGCCUCAGCCUGCCGAGUAGCUGGGAUUACAGGCAUGUGCCACCGCACCCAGCUAAUUUUGUAUUUUUUAGUAGAGAUGGGGUUUCUCCAUGUUGGUCAGGCUGGUCUUGAACUCCUGACCUCAGGUGAUCCGCCCACCUCAGCCUCCCAAAGUGCUGGGAUUACAGGCGUGAGCCACCGCGCCCGGCCAGAACAUUAGUUUUAAACUUCCUAACCCUUGGGAGAAGGCAAAACACUUGAUGAAAUCUACAUAAAGACUUAAAACAUUUUACCAAUUUUGCAUUGUUUGUUUGAAAUUGCAUUGACGACUGCCAGACAUGAUGUAUUGAGUAAAAGGAACUUCGGUACACAGGCCUUUAGUGAUGUGGUGGUAAGAUGUAUGAUGGAGUUCGCUCUUGUUGCCCAGGCUGGAAUGCAAUGGCAUGACCUUGGCUCACUGCAACCUCUGCCUCCCCAGUUCAAGUGAUUCUCCUGCCUCAGCCUCCCGAGUAGCUGGGAUUAUAGAAAUACAAAAAAAAUUCUAAAACUUGUAUGGAACUACAAAAGACAUUAAAUAAUCAAAGUAAUCUUGAGCAACAAGGACACAGCUGGAGGCAUCACUCUACCUGAUUUUGUAAUCCAUUAUCAAAAAACUGUGGUACCAGCAUAAAAGCAGAUUCACUGACCAGUGGAACAGGAAAGCCCAGACAUAACUCAUACAUUUCCAUCCAAUUGAUUUUUGACAAAAGUGGCACACAGAAUGGGGAGAGGAUAAAUAAAUAAAUUGUUUUGAGAUAUCUGUA